AGUUUUCGUACUACGCGCGCAAAGCUUCCCGGGAUAGCGUCAUUUAUUCACACCGCCAUUACGCCAUAUUUUUCAAGCCUUCAUUCUGAAUUUAUGGGUUCGAAAAAUUCGCUUUUUUUAAGCGACGACGAAUGAUUUGAACGAAGAGGAAACAGCGAGCAUGACUGAAUAACAUUCAGGUAAGCAUAUUGUUAUGUUAUAUGUAUAAUGGAGCAGUUUUGAAAGUAAAUAUUCGCUAUCUUCAUUCAUGAAUUUUGAGCAUGUGUUCAUGUUUAAAAUUUGAAUUUGCCGCGACAAUAUUUGAAUUAAAAAGAUGAUAUAUUAGUUUUAUAGAAGGCUUACAUUUGACUUUAUAUUAAAUUAUGUUUAUUGUAUAAAGGGCAACUAAUAUUUGUGUAUAUGAAUAUAUGACAGACUACCAGAUAACAAUGUUUCUGGUAUAAAGUAUAAAUAUAGCUUGGCAUCUACUCAAUCAUCAUAUGCUCAACUACACAUGUCCCAGCUAAACAUGGUUUGAGAAAAGACUUGUUUCAAAUCAACUGCUACUUUCAUAAGUUUCUAAUUUUUAUAUAUCUAGGUUUUUUAUGUCCAAAUUCUUCAAUCAAUGAAAAAAUCUAUUUCACUGUUAGAGGUGUUAUGCACCAGUCAAUAAAAACCUAUACAACUCAUCCCCCCCCCCCUUUGUCUUUUAAUUAAGCUGUGGAGCUUCCCCAUUAACAAGUAAAAUUGUCUGGCAUAAGACAAGUAAAAAAAUAGGUAAGGCACACUGGGGCGCAUUGUGGCUUGAUGGGUUUACCAGAGACAUUGUCAAAUUUUUUGGUCAACCCAUUAAGCUGCAGAGUUUCCCCAUUGACGAGCAAAAUCGUUUGGCGUUAGACAAGUGAAAAAAAAGUAGAGCGCACUGGGGCGCGUUGUGGCUCAAUGGGUUAAUAUAUCAGAGAACAAUAUUUAAAAACAUUGUCUUUAUAGCUUAAGUCAACAACAAAACGUCGUUAAUUAAUCAAAGUGCAUUAUUACUAUGUGUUUAUUUUCCUGUUUAUGACUGACUUGUUUAUUAUACUAACACAAAAGAUUGAAUGUCCAUGUAUAAGCUCUAUCCCUCCUAUAUACUGUAACCCCCCCCUUUGUAUAAGCCCACCAAAUAUAUAGCCCAGGGUUUAUAGUCCGAGAUUUACGGUAUUCCAUGAACCCAUUAAGAUGUGAUGUUGUGAUGGAUUAACAGACUGUGUGUGCAUGUCUCAGUUACCAUUAGCACUUACAUACCCUAAUUUAACCCAUUAAGCUGCAGAGCUUCCCCGCUUUUUCCCCGUUUCCUAGGAUACAAGGCCUCAUCAUGAUUUAUGAAUAAGGUCUAUAGUACUCUGAUUUUCCAUUUAACAUACGAGCCUCUAGUCCUGGGAUAGGGUACAUUUUGAUUUACGUUGGACAAAGCUUCAGUUCGGUCGGACACCAAUACACUCAGGUCGGACAAACAAUAAACCUCAAUUUCACUUUGGUCGGACAGAAUUUCUGGUGGUUUCCUCUCUACGUCGGACAAUUUCACUAAUGGGUCGGACAAUGUCCAUGACCGUCCGAUAUUUUAAGGCCUGCAUAGCUGGAUUAACCCUAACCCGUAGUUAAAAUUUAUGUAUUUCUACAUACAGUAUCUUUUUGUUUUAAAAUUAUGAAAAGAAAACUCCUAUGGUACUGAUCCAGACAAGAUGUCUAAAGAAAUAUUUCCAAAUUUAUAAACAAACUGUCAAGAAGUUUGCUUAAUCUAAGGUUAACUUAUCGGCUUUCGAACAAUCAACCCCUGCAUGGUGAUUUUGUUUGUCAAUGGGGAGUGUGUUGGACUUAAAAGGUUUUAACCUUUCAUUGAAGCUAGAUUGUCUGCCCGCAUUUUGUGUUAACACAUUAUUAAGAUACAAGCCAGACUGCUUUCAGUACUUCAUGAUUUUACUAACAUCAGAGGGUCACAUUUCAUAUUUAACCCUUUUAGAUGCAAAGGACAUUUUAGUCAUCCAGAGGGGGAGGGAGUCUAAGAGUAGAAUCUUCUGAGACUGAUAAUAGUAAGAUGUACUAAGACAUCAAUGGAAUGGGGGGGGGGGUUAAAUUCCAAGUUUCUUUGUAUGUCAUGCUUGAAGUUUUCAAGGAUGGAUAGAUCGGCUUAGAUAAAAAUGUCAAUUUGAUGUUUUGUGUGGCAACUUGAAUAUGGACAUCUCCCUAAUUGGAAGCCGUUAAAGUCCUUUGUUUGUUUGUUCAAACUCAUGAAUACAUUUAGCUAGCUACACCACCCACAUGAUCUGCUUAGUAAAACCCAAUUCACUCCAAUUAACCCAGUUUUCAGCACUUUCUUAAAUUAUGUCACCUUUCCUAAUGCCGGACAAGUUAAUUUGUGUGUAGCUAGAUUUUGCCCAUGUUUCAUGUUGACAUAUUUAGAUGCAAUUUUCCCUAACACUCCCUACUUUAAGUACUUUAAUAUUGAACUGUGACGUCUCAUGCUAGACAAUUUUACUUAUCGACUGCAUGGACUCAUUUCACCUAUUAACACCGAAGAAACAAUUUCCUUUUAAAUGUUACCUACUUUCGGUUCUUUCUAGGGGUGUGCAGGACAGUAUUUCUGCUAUCCAGCCAGAUACAGGAUAUGCUGGAUGGCUGAAAAAUAUCCAGCCCGAUUAAGGGUAUUAUUCAAAUAAUUAUAUAAGGUUCAGGCAUCAUUUAAGGUUAAGUACUGGUAAUAAUUUUAUUUGGUUAAAAAGUAAACAGUCUAAAACUAGUAAACCUCCAUCAUUGGUAGCAAAAGCCUCGUUUACAUCAGUUAAAAGUUCAAAUCCCCAUUUACUGUACAAACAAGCAUUGAAAAUACUGAUCAUAUUUAUCAUAUUUUUACUUCAAUGAUCAUGAUAUGAUAACCUUAUCAAAUCAUUUUCUAACCUGAAAAGAAGGCCUGAACCCUAUAUGAAUAAUAUCCGGCAUUGGGUAGCCGGAUACCAGAUAAUGAAUUAAAAUCUUAAUAUCCGGCCAGAUACAGUAUCAGUCCAUUGCAUCCUAUGUCUUGAAAUGCCAAACAAAUUAACUUUUUAAAUGACUGUAUGUUGAUAUUCAAUAUACUUAGCUAAUAUAUGCACCCUUUUAUUGUUAACCCUUUGAGCAGCAAUGUGCCCAAGUGCACCCUACUUUGUUAUGUUGCACUUAACUAACACCAGACAUUUUACUUUGUGAAAUGCCAGACAAUUUUACUCCUCAAGAGCAGUGUCCUGCUCACCCAUUAGGCCGAAAUGCACCCAAAUGGACCCGCCUUUGUUAUUUUACUCUGUCAAACGCCAGACAAUUUUAGUCAUCAAGAAGAGAGUCCUGCGUGCUAGUGGGUUAAAUGACUUAAUUACAUAUGUUAUAUAUAAACUUAAGCUUUUAGAUUGUUAGGGAUGCACCGGAACCGGUUUUUUAAGUUCCGGCCGGAACCGGAUCCGACCGGAACUGGAAAAAAGUUCCGGCCGGAACCGGAAUUAAUUUAUUAAGCCAUAUAUAAUUAUAUGUUACUUUGUCCGCUGCCAGACAAGCAGACACUUCAAAUCAUUAAGUAGAGAGUUCGCAAAUAUCAGAAUAAAAAGACUGACAAACGUUAAACGUCAUAAUGAAGUGUUAAUAGUGUACAUUUCCCUUGCGUAGUCCAACUUUCUUCCUACUGUGACCUUUUGUUAGACACAAAAACGUUUGAUAUUCUAUCUCCCUGAAAACGACAGAGUUCCGGUUCCGGCAAUGCUUUUUUCACAAGUUCCGGCCGGAACCGGAACUCUAAAAAAUCGGGGUUCCGGCCGGAACUAACCGGCCGGAACCGAGUUCCGGUGCACCUCUAUAGAUUGUCCCAUUGUAUAUUAAUUUUUUACUUAUCUUGACACAGGCUUGUAUGUUGGAUUGAUACGACUACCUCUAAAUAUGGUUAAACUUGGCUAUGUGAUUCAAAGGUUGUGGUUCACCGAGCGAUAAAGAAAAUGAUACAAAGAUGGAAUGAUUGGAUGCAAGUUAUUUACAGUGUUUCAUAUGACAGGUAUUCUGAUUGUGGAAGAUGUGGGCUUGCAAUAUUUUGACAAUUGCAUGGCUAUAAAGUACGAGACAAUUAAUAUAGUACUCCAUUACUCUAAUUGCCAGAACACUGCAUCAGAAUGAGAAGUUGUCUGUUACAGUUCGGUUUAGUAAAAGUACAUAGUAAAAGUACAUAGUCAACUAUGUAAAAUGUAAUUUAGUCAGUGUCAAAUAAAUAUUUUGUGAUGGA
Molecule: long non-coding RNA, 4252 nt
Filed under: Paramuricea clavata
Lineage: Eukaryota; Metazoa; Cnidaria; Anthozoa; Malacalcyonacea; Plexauridae
Source: RNAcentral